RNAcentral lists this ribosomal RNA (253 nucleotides) under uncultured bacterium. Its description in RNAcentral is "partial 16S ribosomal RNA". It matches the Rfam family "Bacterial small subunit ribosomal RNA", at positions 524 to 776 of the family's 1533-position model. The record is from RNAcentral.
UACAGAGGGUGCGAGCGUUAAUCGGAAUUACUGGGCGUAAAGCGUGCGUAGACGGUUACAUAAGUCGGGUGUGAAAGCCCCGGGCUCAACCUGGGAAUUGCAUUCGAGACUGCGUAGCUAGAGUACGGAAGAGGCAAGUGGAAUUCCUGGUGUAGCGGUGGAAUGCGCAGAUAUCAGGAGGAACACCUAUAGCGAAGGCAGCUUGCUGGGACGUUACUGACGCUAAGGCGCGAAAGCGUGGGGAGCGAACAGG